Molecule: transfer RNA, 85 nt
Filed under: Felis catus (domestic cat)
Lineage: Eukaryota; Metazoa; Chordata; Mammalia; Carnivora; Felidae
Rfam family: tRNA
About the family: Transfer RNA (tRNA) molecules are approximately 80 nucleotides in length.
Source: Rfam by way of RNAcentral
GCCUGGGGGGCUCAGUCGGUUGAGCGUCCGACUUUGGCUCAGGUCAUGAUCUCACGGUUCGUGGGUUCGAGCCCCGCAUCGGGCU